Molecule: unclassified non-coding RNA, 20 nt
Filed under: Chlamydomonas reinhardtii
Lineage: Eukaryota; Viridiplantae; Chlorophyta; Chlorophyceae; Chlamydomonadales; Chlamydomonadaceae
Description: small RNA Cre_0214
Source: RNAcentral
ACAGUAGCAUAGGAGACGCG